Molecule: transfer RNA, 94 nt
Filed under: Herbiconiux sp. L3-i23
Lineage: Bacteria; Bacillati; Actinomycetota; Actinomycetes; Micrococcales; Microbacteriaceae
Description: tRNA-Leu
Source: RNAcentral
CUCUACGUCGGCAAGUUCGCCGGCGGCGGGAGUGAGGCUGCCGUGCGCGACUGGUGUGCCCAGCAGGUCGUCGGUGCGGGGCCGAUCGCGGUGG